UUGGAGGGCAAGUCUGGUGCCAGCAGCCGCGGUAAUUCCAGCUCCGAUAGCGUAUAUUAAAGUUGUUGCAGUUAAAAAGCUCGUAGUUGAGUUUCGGGAUUGGCGUGUCGGUCGUGCCUUACGGGGUAUGAACUGGCGUCGUCGAUUUCUCACCUUCUGGAGAAUCACGAUGCCCUUAAUUGGGUGUCGUGUGGAACCAGGACCUUUACCUUGAAAAAAUUAGAGUGUUUAAAGCAGGCAUUUUGCUCGAAUACAUUAGCAUGGAAUAAUAAAAUAGGACGGCUUGGUUCUAUUUUGUUGGUUUCUAGGAUCACCGCAAUGAUUAAUAGGGAUAGUUGGGGGCAUUAGUAUUCAAUUGUCAGAGGUGAAAUUCUUGGAUUUAUUGAAGACUAACUACUGCGAAAGCAUUUGCCAAGGAUGUUUUCAUUAAUCAAGAACGAAAGUUAGGGGAUCGAAGGCGAUCAGAUACCGUCGUAGUCUUAACCAUAAACUAUGCCGACUAGGGAUCGGAUGAUGUUAUUUUUAAUGAAUCAUUCGGCACCUUACGGGAAAC
Molecule: ribosomal RNA, 553 nt
Filed under: uncultured Glomus
Lineage: Eukaryota; Fungi; Glomeromycota; Glomeromycetes; Glomerales; Glomeraceae
Description: SSU rRNA
Rfam family: Eukaryotic small subunit ribosomal RNA
Source: RNAcentral